Molecule: non-coding RNA, 73 nt
Organism: Ameiurus melas (black bullhead)
Lineage: Eukaryota; Metazoa; Chordata; Actinopteri; Siluriformes; Ictaluridae
Source: the annotation of a GenBank genome assembly
GGUACACUGGUUUAGUGGUUAGCAUGUUUGUGUCACACCUCUGUGGUUGGGGGUUCAAAUCCCACCUCUGCCC